Molecule: long non-coding RNA, 1237 nt
Organism: Astatotilapia calliptera (eastern happy)
Lineage: Eukaryota; Metazoa; Chordata; Actinopteri; Cichliformes; Cichlidae
Source: Ensembl
GUGUGUUUUUACUUUGUACCUAAAUGGGACACUGGACUUUUAACUACUAUUCAUUGUGUUUAUAAAUAAAAUUUUAGAAUUUUAUUGACUGUCAUCUUUUUGCCCACGGUGGAGACGGUUGGUCAGACCUAGAAUCUGUGUGUGUGUGUGUGUGUGUCAUCAGCAGGGUUUUGCAUAAAAGAGUGUGAGCAGGUCAAAAGGUCAAUUCAUUUAUUGUAGUUUUAUGGCAGCACCCUCUAGUGGCCUUGAAGCAAACAGUCUCCUAACUAAGCCAUGGCAUCUCUGGUCUCUCCUACUUUUGUGUGCUCUGCUGGAGGAGCAGCAUUGGAUCUAGUGAUACUGAGUAAGCUGAUUAGGACAGGCCUGGAGAAAUGUGGUUUGCAUGAAGUAUCAGGAAAAAAACAACCUUGUAUUGUAAAAUAAUAAUACACGAAUAAUACUUUUCAUGACAUUCAGAUUUCUGGACUCACGAGUUCAUAGAACAUUAAUGUUACGAAACAUUGAGAAGUCUUAAAACUACAUUGUAUACUUAUUAUUUAUUUACUUUAAUCAGAUUUGACUGGUAUUUUUAAACAUUAAGUUUUUGUUCCUUCAACUAUUGUAUUUAAGCUUAUGACUCACUCACAGUAUGUUUAUAUAACUGCCUAAAAAACGGUGAGGAUGUGGCCGCAGUGGCUGAGAAGCAAGAACUUUGCUUUGUCUUUUUUUUUUUUUUUUUUUUAAAUUGGGAAGCAUAAAUGAACAUACCAGAAAACCCUGCACGAAGGAGCCAUAUUUGUUUUUUGUGUGUGCAUAAGAUGACGCUUUAGUAUUAUUACACAUAUGAUAAGGAUGUUAGCAUGCAACACACAAACUCAAGUGGUGUUGCCAAGAUAGUUGCUGACUGGCAAGAAACUUCUAGAAGAAAUCUGGUGACAGUCCAAAGCACAAAUGAACAUGUUUAAUACUCGUGCAAGACUAAUCUGUCCAACACACUUGGACAGAUUGGUGAAAAAGCCAAAACUAAAUCAGACAGACUGAGUGUUACAGUGAACUGUUCUCUGCUCAUAAAGAAGCUCACAGUCGAGGAUGUUGGUUUUUAUUACUGUCAACAAUACGAAGUCAAAGAAACACCAUCUAAACACACUCAGGUUCAUCAGUCUUUGGCUCGUCUCUCUGUUAUUACCUUGACUGAACAUAAGGACACUGAUACGGUGACGUUAAGCUGCUCUGUGCUGACAUAUGAACAGUGUCAUCA